RNAcentral lists this transfer RNA (77 nucleotides) under Pseudobdellovibrionaceae bacterium. Its description in RNAcentral is "Bdellovibrionaceae bacterium tRNA-Leu". It matches the Rfam family "tRNA", at positions 14 to 71 of the family's 71-position model. Rfam says of the family: Transfer RNA (tRNA) molecules are approximately 80 nucleotides in length. Lineage: Bacteria; Pseudomonadati; Bdellovibrionota; Bdellovibrionia; Bdellovibrionales; Pseudobdellovibrionaceae. The record is from RNAcentral.
ACUUUGGUAGACGCACAGGACUUAAAAUCCUGGGUCCCUCACCGGACGUGCCAGUUCAAGUCUGGCCCGGGGCACCA